This 292-nucleotide ribosomal RNA is filed under the name uncultured bacterium. Its description in RNAcentral is "partial 16S ribosomal RNA". It matches the Rfam family "Bacterial small subunit ribosomal RNA", at positions 505 to 796 of the family's 1533-position model. The record is from RNAcentral.
GUGUCAGCCGCCGCGGUAAGACGUAGGGAGCGAGCGUUGUCCGGAUUCAUUGGGCGUAAAGAGCGCGCAGGCGGUUCGGAAAGUCGGAUGUGAAAACUCGGAGCUCAACUCCGAGCGUGCAUCCGAAACUUCCGGACUAGAGGUAGGUAGGGGAGAUCGGAAUUCCUGGUGUAGCGGUGAAAUGCGCAGAUAUCAGGAGGAACACCGGUGGCGAAGGCGGAUCUCUGGGCCUUACCUGACGCUCAGGCGCGAAAGCUAGGGGAGCGAACAGGAUUAGAUACCCUAGUAGUCC